ACCCGCUGAACUUAAGCAUAUCAAUAAGCGGAGGAAAAGAAACCAACAGGGAUUACCUCAGUAACGGCGAGUGAAGCGGUAACAGCUCAAAUUUGAAAUCUGGCUCCUUCGGAGUCCGAGUUGUAAUUUGUAGAAGAUGCUUUGGGUUGCAGGUUCGGUCUAAGUUCCUUGGAACAGGGCGUCAUAGAGGGUGAGAAUCCCGUCUGCGGCCGUGACCUGUGCCCGUGUAAAGCUCUUUCGACGAGUCGAGUUGUUUGGGAAUGCAGCUCAAAAUGGGUGGUAAAUUUCAUCUAAAGCUAAAUAUUGGCCAGAGACCGAUAGCGCACAAGUAGAGUGAUCGAAAGAUGAAAAGCACUUUGGAAAGAGAGUUAAACAGUACGUGAAAUUGUUGAAAGGGAAGCGCUUGCAACCAGACUUGGGCGUCGUGGAUCAUCCGAGGUUCUCCUCGGUGCACUCGACGACGCACAGGCCAGCAUCGGUUUGGAUGGCUGGAAAAAGGCCCUAGAAAUGUAGCUCCUCGCGGGGAGUGUUAUAGUCUAGGGCGUAAUGCAGCCCAUCUGGACCGAGGACCGCGCUUCGGCUAGGAUGCUGGCGUAAUGGUUGUAAGCGACCCGUCUUGAAACACGGACCAA
Molecule: ribosomal RNA, 632 nt
Filed under: Neoerysiphe galeopsidis
Lineage: Eukaryota; Fungi; Ascomycota; Leotiomycetes; Helotiales; Erysiphaceae
Description: partial large subunit ribosomal RNA
Rfam family: Eukaryotic large subunit ribosomal RNA
Source: RNAcentral